GUUUUAAUAGUUUAAUAAAAAAAUAUAGAUUUUGUAAAUCUAAGAUAAUUAUUUUUUAAAACU
This 63-nucleotide transfer RNA is filed under the name Cryptotympana facialis. RNAcentral describes it as "tRNA-Thr". Lineage: Eukaryota; Metazoa; Arthropoda; Insecta; Hemiptera; Cicadidae. The record is from RNAcentral.